UCAGGCCUAACACAUGCAAGUCGAACGGUAACGCGGGGCAACCUGGCGACGAGUGGCGAACGGGUGAGUAAUGUAUCGGAACGUGCCCAGUUGUGGGGGAUAACUGCUCGAAAGAGCAGCUAAUACCGCAUACGACCUGAGGGUGAAAGCGGGGGAUCGCAAGACCUCGCGCAAUUGGAGCGGCCGAUAUCAGAUUAGGUAGUUGGUGGGGUAAAGGCUCACCAAGCCGACGAUCUGUAGCUGGUCUGAGAGGACGACCAGCCACACUGGGACUGAGACACGGCCCAGACUCCUACGGGAGGCAGCAGUGGGGAAUUUUGGACAAUGGGCGCAAGCCUGAUCCAGAAAGGCCGCGUGCGGGAAGAAGGCCUUCGGG
This 376-nucleotide ribosomal RNA is filed under the name uncultured bacterium. RNAcentral describes it as "bacterial SSU rRNA". It matches the Rfam family "Bacterial small subunit ribosomal RNA", at positions 43 to 422 of the family's 1533-position model. The record is from RNAcentral.